AUAUACAACAACAAGAAGAAGAGAUAUAAAUAAAGAAGAAAGAAAAAAAGAAGAAAAAGGGGGAAAUGACUAAGGGUUUUUUCUUAUCUAAAUGCUAAGAUGUACUUUUAUACUUUUCCGUUUGAAUAAUACCUCGUGUGAU
RNAcentral lists this non-coding RNA (142 nucleotides) under Heterosigma akashiwo. The record is from RNAcentral. Lineage: Eukaryota; Raphidophyceae; Chattonellales; Chattonellaceae.